GGGCUCAGGAUGAACGCUAGCGGCAGGCUUAAUACAUGCAAGUCGUGGGGCAGCAUGAGUAGCAAUACUUGAUGGCGACCGGCAAACGGGUGAGGAACACGUACACAACCUUCCUUCAAGCGGGGAAUAGCCCAGAGAAAUUUGGAUUAAUACCCCAUAAUAUAUUUGAUAAGGCAUCUUAUUAAUAUUAAAGCUUCGGCACUUGAUGAUGGGUGUGCGGCUGAUUAGAUAGUUGGCGGGUAACGGCCCACCAAGUCUACGAUCAGUAGCUGAUGUGAGAGCAUGAUCAGCCACACGGGCACUGAGACACGGGCCCGACUCCUACGGGAGGCAGCAGUAAGGAAUAUUGGACAAUGGACGAAAGUCUGAUCCAGCCAUGCCGCGUGAAGGAUUAAGGUCCUCUGGAUUGUAAACUUCUUUUAUAUGGGACGAAAAAAGGGCAUUCUUGUUCACUUGACGGUACCAUAUGAAUAAGCACCGGCUAACUCCGUG
RNAcentral lists this ribosomal RNA (492 nucleotides) under uncultured bacterium. RNAcentral's name for it is "bacterial SSU rRNA". It matches the Rfam family "Bacterial small subunit ribosomal RNA", at positions 20 to 507 of the family's 1533-position model. The record is from RNAcentral.